ACAAGCGGUGGAGUAUGUGGUUUAAUUCGAUGCAACGCGAAGAACCUUACCUGGUCUUGACAUCCCGGAGACCCUUAGGAAACUAGGGGGUGCUUCCAUCUGGAAGAAUCUGGAGACAGGUGCUGCAUGGCUGUCGUCAGCUCGUGUCGUGAGAUGUUGGGUUAAGUCCCGCAACGAGCGCAACCCUUGCCUUAGUUGCCAGCAGUUCGGCUGGGCACUCUAAAGGGACUGCCGGUGUUAAACCGGAGGAAGGUGGGGAUGACGUCAAGUCCUCAUGGCCUUUAUGACCAGGGCUACACACGUACUACAAUGGCCGAUACAAAGGGCAGCGACACUGCGAGGUGAAGCCAAUCCCGUAAAAUCGGUCUCAGUCCGGAUUGGAGUCUGCAACUCGACUCCAUGAAGUUGGAAUCGCUAGUAAUCGCAGAUCAGCCAAGCUGCGGUGAAUACGUUCCCGGGCCUU
RNAcentral lists this ribosomal RNA (463 nucleotides) under uncultured Desulfobulbus sp. RNAcentral describes it as "bacterial SSU rRNA". It matches the Rfam family "Bacterial small subunit ribosomal RNA", at positions 925 to 1382 of the family's 1533-position model. The record is from RNAcentral. Lineage: Bacteria; Pseudomonadati; Thermodesulfobacteriota; Desulfobulbia; Desulfobulbales; Desulfobulbaceae.